GGGGUCUCUCCGGGCACUUCUGAUUUCUCCACCAAUAAAAACUCACCGCCACGAAAUAGCACGAAAGUGUUGAAAGUGGCGCUAAAUAACAGUUAAUCAAUCAUCCAUACCGAUAUACUUAGGGAGCUACCAUUUGAUUUUUAUGGGGGGGGGGGGGGGGGCUAGGAUGAAAAAUUUUGUACUGCAUUUUUUUUUUAGCUGUAAUCUCUGUCCUGCAUUUUUAUUUUUCACUCUGUUUGGUCCUGCCUUUUUUUUUUAGUUUAUCCUGACUUUUUUUACCUAAAUUGUCGUCCUGACUUUUUUUUUUGCAAGUGUCUCAUCCUGCCUUUUUUUUAAUCAAAACUCCUGUCCUGCCUAUUUCUUUCAAAUUUCAUCCUAGCCCC
This 383-nucleotide long non-coding RNA is filed under the name Mytilus galloprovincialis (Mediterranean mussel). The record is from RNAcentral. Lineage: Eukaryota; Metazoa; Mollusca; Bivalvia; Mytilida; Mytilidae.